This 67-nucleotide transfer RNA is filed under the name Halosydna sp. YZ-2018. RNAcentral's name for it is "tRNA-Lys". The record is from RNAcentral. Lineage: Eukaryota; Metazoa; Annelida; Polychaeta; Phyllodocida; Polynoidae.
CUUCAAAGAGCUGUACUCUUAGCGUUAGUCUUUUAAACUAAAGAAAAUAUUCAAUUAUUUUUGAAGG